RNAcentral lists this ribosomal RNA (301 nucleotides) under uncultured bacterium. RNAcentral describes it as "partial 16S ribosomal RNA". It matches the Rfam family "Bacterial small subunit ribosomal RNA", at positions 509 to 807 of the family's 1533-position model. The record is from RNAcentral.
CAGCAGCCGCGGGAAUACGAAGGGUGCAAGCGUUAAUCGGAAUUACUGGGCGUAAAGCGUGCGCAGGCGGUUCGCUAAGACAGAUGUGAAAUCCCCGGGCUUAACCUGGGAACUGCAUUUGUGACUGGCGGGCUAGAGUAUGACAGAGGGGGGUAGAAUUCCACGUGUAGCAGUGAAAUGCGUAGAGAUGUGGAGGAAUACCGAUGGCGAAGGCAGCCCCCUGGGCCAAUACUGACGCUCAUGCACGAAAGCGUGGGGAGCAAACAGGAUUAGAUACCCGUGUAGUCCCUGUCUCUUAUAC